This 2190-nucleotide ribosomal RNA is filed under the name Shewanella sp. 5_MG-2023. Its description in RNAcentral is "partial 23S ribosomal RNA". It matches the Rfam family "Bacterial large subunit ribosomal RNA", at positions 1 to 2228 of the family's 2925-position model. Lineage: Bacteria; Pseudomonadati; Pseudomonadota; Gammaproteobacteria; Alteromonadales; Shewanellaceae. The record is from RNAcentral.
GGUUAAGUGACUAAGCGUAUACGGUGGAUGCCUUGGCAGUCAGAGGCGAUGAAGGACGUAGUAACUUGCGAAAAGCGUUGGCGAGCUAGUAACAAGCAUUUGAGCUAACGAUGUCCGAAUGGGGAAACCCGGCCACAUAAGUGGUCAUCAUAACGUGAAUACAUAGCGUUAUGAGGCGAACCUGGGGAACUGAAACAUCUAAGUACCCAGAGGAAAAGAAAUCAACCGAGAUUCCCCUAGUAGCGGCGAGCGAACGGGGAUUAGCCCUUAAGUCUAUGGGGUGUUAGUGGAAUGAGUUGGAAAGCUCAACGGUACAGGGUGAUAGUCCCGUACAUGAAAACUAACCAUAGAUGAAAACGAGUAAGGCGGGACACGUGACAUCCUGUUUGAAUAUGGGGGGACCAUCCUCCAAGGCUAAAUACUCCUGACUGACCGAUAGUGAACCAGUACCGUGAGGGAAAGGCGAAAAGAACCCCUGUGAGGGGAGUGAAAUAGAACCUGAAACCGUGUACGUACAAGCAGUGGGAGCGGUUCUUGAGACCGUGACUGCGUACCUUUUGUAUAAUGGGUCAGCGACUUACGUUUUGUAGCGAGGUUAAGCGAAUAGCGGAGCCGUAGGGAAACCGAGUGUUAACUGCGCGUUUAGUUGCAAGGCGUAGACCCGAAACCGAGUGAUCUAGCCAUGGGCAGGUUGAAGGUUGAGUAACAUCAACUGGAGGACCGAACCGACUAAUGUUGAAAAAUUAGCGGAUGACUUGUGGCUGGGGGUGAAAGGCCAAUCAAACUCGGAGAUAUCUGGUUCUCCUCGAAAGCUAUUUAGGUAGCGCCUCGAGCGAAUACCACUGGGGGUAGAGCACUGUUAAGGCUAGGGGGUCAUCCCGACUUACCAACCCUUUGCAAACUCCGAAUACCAGUGAGUACUACUCGGGAGACAGACGGCGGGUGCUAACGUCCGUCGUCAAAAGGGAAACAACCCAGACCAUCAGCUAAGGUCCCAAAGUUAUUGCUAAGUGGGAAACGAUGUGGGAAGGCUUAGACAGCUAGGAUGUUGGCUUAGAAGCAGCCAUCAUUUAAAGAAAGCGUAAUAGCUCACUAGUCGAGUCGGCCUGCGCGGAAGAUUUAACGGGGCUAAGCAAUACACCGAAGCUAUGGGUUUGCUCUUAGGAGCAAGCGGUAGAGGAGCGUUCUGUAAGCGGUUGAAGGUGAAGGGGUAACCCACACUGGACGUAUCAGAAGUGCGAAUGCUGACAUGAGUAACGAUAAAGGGAGUGAAAAACUCCCUCGCCGAAAGACCAAGGGUUCCUGUCCAACGUUAAUCGGGGCAGGGUGAGUCGACCCCUAAGGCGAGGCCGAAAGGCGUAGUCGAUGGGAAACGGGUCAAUAUUCCCGUACUUCUGCUAACUGCGAUGGAGAGACGGAGAAGGCUAGGCUAGCGCGGCGUUGGUAGUCCGCGUUUAAGGUUGUAGGCUGUAAACUUAGGCAAAUCCGGGUUUACAUUAGGCUGAGAGCUGAUGACGAGUCACUAAGGUGAUGAAGUAGUUGAUGCCAUGCUUCCAGGAAAAUCUUCUAAGCUUCAGGUUAGUAGGAAUCGUACCCCAAACCGACACAGGUGGUCGGGUAGAGAAUACCAAGGCGCUUGAGAGAACUCGGCUGAAGGAACUAGGCAAAAUGGUACCGUAACUUCGGGAGAAGGUACGCUGCUGUUGGUGAUGGGACUUGCUCCCUAAGCUGACGGCAGUCGCAGAUACCAGGUGGCUGCAACUGUUUAUCAAAAACACAGUACUGUGCAAAAUCGCAAGAUGACGUAUACGGUAUGACGCCUGCCCGGUGCUUGAAGGUUAAUUGAUUGGGUUAUCUUCGGAGAAGCUCAUGAUCGAAGCCCAAGUAAACGGCGGCCGUAACUAUAACGGUCCUAAGGUAGCGAAAUUCCUUGUCGGGUAAGUUCCGACCUGCACGAAUGGCGUAAUGAUGGCCACGCUGUCUCCAGCCGAGACUCAGUGAAGUUGAAAUUGCGGUGAAGAUGCCGUAUACCCGCGGCUAGACGGAAAGACCCCGUGAACCUUUACUAUAGCUUGGCACUGAACAUUGAACCUACAUGUGUAGGAUAGGUGGGAGACUUUGAAGCUUCGUCGCUAGAUGGAGUGGAGUCAAUCUUGAAAUACCACCCUUGUAGUUUUGAUGUUCUAACCG